This 165-nucleotide small nuclear RNA is filed under the name Oryza sativa Indica Group (long-grained rice). RNAcentral's name for it is "U2 spliceosomal RNA". Lineage: Eukaryota; Viridiplantae; Streptophyta; Magnoliopsida; Poales; Poaceae. The record is from RNAcentral.
AAACCUGAAAUAUCAUGGGAUAAACAAAUGAGCAUCUGAGAUUUGUUCUUGUUAUCAUGAGUAAUUUUUUUUGCCACAAGAUUAACCAUAAGUAACUUUUUUUUGGAAUAAACUAUUUAGUGGCAUGGAUAAAUCUUAAACAAUUAUUUAUAUAUGCUACGGUAG